UCAAACUUGGUCAUUUAGAGGAAGUAAAAGUCGUAACAAGGUUUCCGUAGGUGAACCUGCGGAAGGAUCAUUACUGAGUGCGGGCCCUCUGGGUCCAACCUCCCACCCGUGUAUACCGUACCUUGUUGCUUCGACAGGCCCGCCGUGAGGCCGCUGGGAGGCACCCUGCCCCCGAGCCCGCGCCUGUCGAAGACACCCUGGAACACUGUCUGAAGAUUGCCGUCUGAGCGAACAGCACAAAUUAGUUAAAACUUUCAACAACGGAUCUCUUGGUUCCGGCAUCGAUGAAGAACGCAGC
This 298-nucleotide unclassified non-coding RNA is filed under the name uncultured fungus. Its description in RNAcentral is "partial contains small subunit ribosomal RNA, internal transcribed spacer 1, and 5.8S ribosomal RNA". The stretch from base 1 to 73 matches the Rfam family "Eukaryotic small subunit ribosomal RNA", at positions 1759 to 1831 of the family's 1831-position model. The record is from RNAcentral. Lineage: Eukaryota; Fungi.